AUUGAACGCUGGCGGCAGGCCUAACACAUGCAAGUCGAGCGGAUGAAGGGAGCUUGCUCCUGGAUUCAGCGGCGGACGGGUGAGUAAUGCCUAGGAAUCUGCCUGGUAGUGGGGGAUAACGUCCGGAAACGGGCGCUAAUACCGCAUACGUCCUGAGGGAGAAAGUGGGGGAUCUUCGGACCUCAUGCUAUCAGCUGAGCCUAGGUCGGAUUAGCUAGUUGGUGGGGUAAAGGCCUACCAAGGCGACGAUCCGUAACUGGUCUGAGAGGAUGAUCAGUCACACUGGAACUGAGACACGGUCCAGACUCCUACGGGAGGCAGCAGUGGGGAAUAUUGGACAAUGGGCGAAAGCCUGAUCCAGCCAUGCCGCGUGUGUGAAGAAGGUCUUCGGAUUGUAAAGCACUUUAAGUUGGGAGGAAGGGCAGUAAGUUAAUACCUUGCUGUUUUGACGUUACCAACAGAAUAAGCACCGGCUAACUUCGUG
This 484-nucleotide ribosomal RNA is filed under the name uncultured bacterium. RNAcentral describes it as "partial 16S ribosomal RNA". It matches the Rfam family "Bacterial small subunit ribosomal RNA", at positions 30 to 507 of the family's 1533-position model. The record is from RNAcentral.